This 465-nucleotide ribosomal RNA is filed under the name uncultured Klebsiella sp. RNAcentral describes it as "bacterial SSU rRNA". It matches the Rfam family "Bacterial small subunit ribosomal RNA", at positions 338 to 795 of the family's 1533-position model. The record is from RNAcentral. Lineage: Bacteria; Pseudomonadati; Pseudomonadota; Gammaproteobacteria; Enterobacterales; Enterobacteriaceae.
CCUACGGGAGGCAGCAGUGGGGAAUAUUGCACAAUGGGCGCAAGCCUGAUGCAGCCAUGCCGCGUGUGUGAAGAAGGCCUUCGGGUUGUAAAGCACUUUCAGCGGGGAGGAAGGCGGUGAGGUUAAUAACCUCAUCGAUUGACGUUACCCGCAGAAGAAGCACCGGCUAACUCCGUGCCAGCAGCCGCGGUAAUACGGAGGGUGCAAGCGUUAAUCGGAAUUACUGGGCGUAAAGCGCACGCAGGAGGUCUGUCAAGUCGGAUGUGAAAUCCCCGGGCUCAACCUGGGAACUGCAUUCGAAACUGGCAGGCUAGAGUCUUGUAGAGGGGGGUAGAAUUCCAGGUGUAGCGGUGAAAUGCGUAGAGAUCUGGAGGAAUACCGGUGGCGAAGGCGGCCCCCUGGACAAAGACUGACGCUCAGGUGCGAAAGCGUGGGGAGCAAACAGGAUUAGAUACCCCGGUAGUC